Long non-coding RNA from Sphaeramia orbicularis (orbiculate cardinalfish), 951 nucleotides. RefSeq lists it as uncharacterized. The record is from RefSeq and is a predicted model, not a curated record. The transcript is spliced from 2 exons. NCBI's taxonomy places the organism in Eukaryota, Metazoa, Chordata, Actinopteri, Kurtiformes, Apogonidae.
GAUGGGAUGCUACUGGUUUAGCUCGUUUAGGUUUUACUGGAUCUAUUUUUAUAAAUGUGAAUGUUGGAGCACACAGUUGGGCUGAUGCUGGAUUUUACUAAAACCUUCAUGUGGACUUGAUUGUUUUAAUUUGAAAAUAUUGAAGUUUAAGUGUGUGUGAGUUCAGCUGAUUUAACGACGCUUCAUCUACUGGAGUUCAACAGAACCGUCAGAGUUCAGCCCAAAAAUACCAGGAUUCAUAAGAACAGGAUCUGUGUGUGUGUGUGUGUGUGUGUGGUGUGUGUCUUGUCCUGCUGUACAUAGCCAGGCGGUAAAAGGCCAGAUAACUGCACUAACUGUGUGUGUGUUUUGGAGGAACAUGAACCUUCAGUGAUGUUUCUUUCAUGAAUCUGUUUCCAUCCAUUCAAGGGUCAUUUUGUCGUCAAUAGAAUCUUGUGUUUUGGAACAUUGCACACAAACUGUGGCCACUAUGCAAACCCAUGAACCCCAUGAACCCCCAUGAGUCCAUGUGUUGGACUCCAGAGUCUGUUCAUUCCAUCACUGAACUAAAACACAAUGAGCCUCAUGGAAGAACGUUUGUGUUUUCAUAUCUGAACUUUUUCUGCUUUGGACUUGGAUGAUGAACAUCAAACCCAUGAAUAAACCGUGUUCAUGUAAAGACCUGCUGAGUGCAGACUUUGGAAGGUCCCUGAUCAGCCCAUGGUUCCUGCUGAAGGUCCAGGACCAUAGAUGGCUCCUGCUGUAGAACAUGUUCAUGGGUGGUUCUUCCAUGAGGCCAGUGUUCAGUCCACUCAUGGACAGUCCAGUCCCACCUGUGGUUCAGGUGGACACUGUCCUACAGACGUCCACAUGCACUCCAGAUAUUAGUAUGUAUGAAACUGUCGACUACUGUCACUGAUCAUUAUUGGGUUAAUUUGUUUAGAUUUUGUUGACAAUAAACGACUGUUAAGG